ACAGAGUUCUGCUAGUGGCAGACGGGUGAGUAGUACAUGGGAAUCUACCUUGCAGUGCGAAAUAACAGUUGGAAGCAAUUGCUAAUGUCGCAUAUAGCCGAGAGGUGAAAGAUUUAUCGCUGCAAGACGAGCCCAUGCAGGAUUAGCUAGUUGGUGAGGUAAUGGCUCACCAAGGCAACGAUCUUUAGUUGGUCUGAGAGGAUGAUCAGCCACACUGGAACUGAGACACGGUCCAGACUCCUACGGGAGGCAGCAGUGGGGAAUAUUGGACAAUGGGCGCAAGCCUGAUCCAGCGACGCCGCGUGAGUGAAGAAGGCCUUCGGGUUGUAAAGCUCUUUUAGUGGGGAAGAUAAUGACGGUACCCACAGAAAAAGCCCCGGCUAACUUCGUGC
Molecule: ribosomal RNA, 392 nt
Filed under: Candidatus Midichloria mitochondrii
Lineage: Bacteria; Pseudomonadati; Pseudomonadota; Alphaproteobacteria; Rickettsiales; Candidatus Midichloriaceae
Description: bacterial SSU rRNA
Rfam family: Bacterial small subunit ribosomal RNA
Source: RNAcentral